AACGAACGCUGGCGGCAUGCCUAACACAUGCAAGUCGAACGAGACCUUCGGGACUAUUGGCGCACGGUGUCGUAACGUGUGGGAACCUGCCCAUAUGUUCGGAAUAACUCCCCGACAGGGGUGCUAAUACCGGAUAAUGUCUUCUGACCAAAGAUUUAUCGCCUUUGGAUGGGCCCGCGUGGGAUUAGCUCGUUGGUAGGGUAAAAGCCUACUAAGGCGACGAUCCAUAGCUGGUAUGAGAGGCGGAUCAGCGACACUGGGAGUGAGACACGGCCCAGAAUCCUACGGGAGGCAGCAGUGGGGAACAUAGGAAAAUGGGCGAAAGCAUGAAGCAGCAAUGACCGGAGAGUGAUGAAGGCAUUAGGGUUGUAAAGCGCUUGUAACCGGGAUGAUAAUGACAGUACCGGGAGAAUAAGCCCCGGCUAACUCCGUG
This 433-nucleotide ribosomal RNA is filed under the name uncultured bacterium. RNAcentral's name for it is "partial 16S ribosomal RNA". It matches the Rfam family "Bacterial small subunit ribosomal RNA", at positions 29 to 507 of the family's 1533-position model. The record is from RNAcentral.